RNAcentral lists this unclassified non-coding RNA (284 nucleotides) under plant metagenome. Its description in RNAcentral is "partial contains small subunit ribosomal RNA, internal transcribed spacer 1, and 5.8S ribosomal RNA". The stretch from base 1 to 53 matches the Rfam family "Eukaryotic small subunit ribosomal RNA", at positions 1778 to 1831 of the family's 1831-position model. The record is from RNAcentral.
GGAAGUAAAGUCGUAACAAGGUUUCCGUAGGUGAACCUGCGGAAGGAUCAUUAUUGUAUAACCGAGGUGCGAGGGCUGUCGCUGACCCGAAAGGUCGUGCACGCCCGAGUGCCCUCACACACAUCCAUCUCACCCCUAUGUGCACCACCGCGUGGGUCCCCCUUUGGCUUGUUCGGAGGGGGGCUUACGUUUUCACACAAACUCUGUAUGCAGUGUAGAAUGUAUUUUUUGUUUUUGCGAUCACGCAAUCAAUACAACUUUCAACAACGGAUCUCUUGGCUCUC